GAAGUGAGCAAGGGAGGUCAUUCGCAAUUCUGUCACUCCUAAAUUUGUCUGAACCUUUUUGGAAGGCAUUUGUAUUUCCUGCCAGCACCACCUCUUGGGGGUGAUGAAUUCCAAUAAGUUUCAAUCCGUUUAUUACUCACUGUGAGAGAAAUUGCUUCCUUUUAUGUCUGGAACUAAACCUGGAUCACAUUUCACAGGAUAUCCCCUAGUCACAGAGUUUUGGAAUCUGACCUGGAGGCAAAGGUAUGGAUGAGAUCACAUAGCAAGGAGAUUGCUGCUGAGAAGGAGUCAAAGCCUGGGUUUUACUUGUGGCCUUGCUGCUACACCAACUUUACUGACAUGCCAUUCUGGGAUAGUCUUUUCUCUCUGAGGCUUCAAGAGAAGAUGAGAAUACAUUCCAUCCCUACCUCUUGGAGUCAUUGUGAGGACUCAGAUGAAGUGCAGCAUCACGCAACAGAACUCAGAUGCCCUCACUGCAUCUCAAAUGCACUCAGCAGGCUGCCAUGCUGUGAGCUGCCCUAUGGAGAAGUCCACAUGGCAAGGAACUGAGGGAUACCUUCAGCCAACAGCCAAUGAGGAACUGAUGCUCCCAGAGAACAGCCUGUAGGAAACUAAUUCCUGCUAACAACCUUCAGAUGACUGCAGGUCUGGCUGGCAACUCAACUGAAGCCUGAGAGAGAUCCUGAAGCAGCGGGUGCAGCUAAGCCUCUGCUGGAUUCCCAUUAGACAGAAACUAAUGUAAAGUUUUAUGAGGACAAAACUCUUGCUUAUCAUUGUGUUCCCUCGUGCCUAGAAGAGUGCCUGACAUUAAGUGGGUGCUCACGUUUGGUAGGUAUUUGUGAAGGAAUAAAUAUUGCAACCCAUAAAAAGAAUGAAUAGUCAUGCAGAUCCAAUAUGGGGAAGGCUUCCAAAAUAUAACAUUAUGGCGGGAGAGAAAAGCAAGUUGCAAGGCAAUCUAUAUAUAUCAUGAUCCCCCUUUCAUAUCUGAAAGUUUGCAUAUGCAAUGAAAAAUGUCUGAAAAGAUACAGAUCAAAGUGUGAAUAGUGGUUUUCCCUACAAGAUAAAAUUAUGGAGCCACACUGUCUUAAACAUUUCUUUAAUUUUUAAUGGUUUUAUAAUUAUUCUAGAAUCAGAAAAAUUCAAUGAAGACAUUUUAUAGAAUUCUUAAGGCCAACCAGCCACUUGCUCUUCAGUGUUCCUGUGUCUUCUCUUGGCAGACCUCCAAAGAGGCUACCUGCUGCUAGUCUGAACCCAGCAGCCUUAGACUUUUUCCUUAUGGUGGCCAGAACCAUUCUCCCUGCACCUCACCCAGCCAGCCUCCAGUCUCCAGGCAGUGCACAGGAAGAGCUCCCACAUGACAGACUGUCAGAAACCUAGCAUGUUUUCUGUGAAUAUUUCUUGGCAAUAAUUACUGAAUAGGAAAUAGGGAGUUGAAGAGAAAUAAAAAUACAGUACAGCAAAAAUAACUGUUUUUGCAGUUCAGCCUUGAAGGGAUAAAGGCUGCCGAGUAGCUGAUGGAUGGAGCACACUGCGCUGAUCCUCUGCUUUGCUUGAGGGCGAAGUUCUCAUGGGGACACUAAGGCUGGGCUUCAUGGAAAGCUCCAGUGAGAUCCCUGGACACAUAUCAGAUUUCUCCCUGGUUAUGCUGAGUGUAUCUGUGCAGGAAGGUACUCAGAGUGCUCCAUCUAAAGCCCAGCAUUCCCUGUAGACUAAGAGUCAGUGUGGGAGAGAGGUGGGGGCGGGCAGCCUUGUCAUUCUUCCCCUCACAACUUGGCUUGGGCAGUUUUUCAUCUCCUUGCUAUGUUAUCAACUCUCCACUGCCUCACCCACUAUAUCCUAUAUGCUCUUAAAUUUGCUGUAUAUGUUGACUGGGAGGCAAGGUAAGCCUCCAAGAGGAGAGCUGAUCAUAAUCCUGAAAGACACAAUCCAGAGUGCCACCAUCCUGAAUGUGGAAAUCCUGAAAGAUCACAAUCCCAAAAAUAUAACUCUGAGAAAAACAAUAAAAAAGUAUUUUAAAGAUAUUUAAAAGGGAAUUUAUUUGAGAAACAAAAAUGCAACAGAACACUUCACAGGCCACUUUAUACAAUAAAAGAGUCAAUAACAUACACAUUUUUGGAGGCAUAAAAAUUCAGAUAUACUAAUGACAGCCACAUGGAUAUAACAAUUAUGAGCAGAUGAACUGUAUUCAUAAAGAAAUAGGUGAAAAAGGGAAAUAUAUAAACACAUAUCACUAUGGUUGUGUACGCAGCCUUAUAACUGCAGUCAUAUGAAAUACUGUUAUGAGCAACCUAACAGUAUUUUAAAGAGAUCAAUAAAAAAACAAAACCAUGUUGGGUCACCAUCACAUAUGCAGUCUCCCAAAGAGCCGAGAUCUUGAGACAUUUCUCACAAAAGCAGAUGUAGCAAAAGAACAUCUCUUCAUUUAUUGAGGAAAUUUCAACAUUUUUACUUACAUGCACAAUGCUUACACACAAAGUCAACGUUAUGAUAAUGCAUUUUCUGGAGUCAAAUCUGCAAAAAAAUGUGUAAAACCAAUUAGAACUCUCCAAAAGUCUCUAUGCAAUUUAUAUCUUCAAUAUUGAAAAUGAUGUAAAGAUGAAAUACAUAGCCUAGCAAAUUGUAAAAUACAACAUUAACAAUUUAAAAUAAUGAAAAAGACUAACAAAAAGAAAAGAAAAACAUUAGACAUGAAAAGUAUAUUAAGUGGAUAGAUAAUGGCAAUUGCACAGAGGUUGUCCAUAAGGCUGGCUAACCUUCACUAUCAUUGACUAUAUUUUGAAGUCUUGCAUCACGAUGAAUAGCUGCUUUUUUCUAUUAGGACAUGGCUUUCCUCAGAGAAUAUUUUCAUAUUCAUUUUCUAUGUAGUGCUGCUCUUUUUGAUAUUCUUCUGUGAUUCGAUAUGCAACAACAUGAACAUUUCCUGUUAAACUUUCCCAUCUUCUGUUUAGGAAUUUUGAUCUCUAGGGAUUUCAGUAUUUGGGAUGAUGGUGUUUGGAAUUGUGUCUUUCAGGUUUAUGAUCCAAACCCCUCUGAGAGCAGGGACACAAGAUGUUGUGUCCUCUGUGGUAUCCUCAGGGCCUGUUAUACUGACAGCACAAGUAGAGACUCAAGCAGUGUGGUUGGCAGAAUGAAUGGCCACUCUCACAUUUGUGUAUGUCCUUUCUAAAGUGUGCUCCAGCAUGGCAUGGUCUGACACUACGGAGUAGAGCAGGAUUGUACACACCUUCUUUCUACAUUCUAUACUUCCAUAAAUGUAAUCUAAGAGCAGAUUUUUUGGGCAGCCAAUUAAACAGUUAUAAAACUUGUUCCUCCAACCUUUUCUUCUUAAAGAAGAUGUCAGCUAUUAUUUCUUUAAAUGUCACUUUAAUGAUGAAAUAUUUCAAACAUAUUAUAUUUAAAAUAUUCUGAACAUAGCAAGUCCUCAUGGACCUGCCUCUGGA
Molecule: long non-coding RNA, 3440 nt
Organism: Homo sapiens (human)
Lineage: Eukaryota; Metazoa; Chordata; Mammalia; Primates; Hominidae
Exons: 5
Source: RefSeq, a predicted model, not a curated record